GUCUUCCUAGCAAGCAGCAAUUAGCUCAAGUAUUGUAAAAUUGUCAUGUUGUCCUUCAACUUCGAUUUGAUUUUUUCUAGUAUGCCUGACAUAUUUUUUUUAGAUUUUUAUAUUGAGUGAAUAUGGAAUAGACUGAUCAUUUAUCAUACUGUUUGUUAUUGUGUCAGUAUUGAAAGUGUCCGUGUUAGAUUGACUCUGUUCUUGAAACUUGCGCCUUUUUUGUGUUGGCAUUUUCUACUGCUUUGAUUUCUUCGUAGCAAGCAGCUUUGAGCUGCUAAAGAUUGUCAAAUUGUCAUGUUGUAAAUCAAAUUGAUUUUUUCCAUUUUGCUUGUUGUUUUUAUUUUUAGGUUGAGUGCAUAUGGGAAAGACUUAUCAUCUCACAAAAUGAUUGUUAUUGUAUCAUAAUAUGCAUAACGAAUAGUGUCCAUGUAAGAUGACUCUGUUGGCAAUUUCUACUGCUUUUAUGUCUUUGUAGAAAGCAGCUGUCAGCUCAAGUUUUGUCAAAUUGUUAUGUUGUAAUUAAUCUUCGAUUUGAAUUUAUCAACUUGCUGUCUCCAUUUUACCUGUGUUUUUUU
This 575-nucleotide long non-coding RNA is filed under the name Mytilus galloprovincialis (Mediterranean mussel). The record is from RNAcentral. Lineage: Eukaryota; Metazoa; Mollusca; Bivalvia; Mytilida; Mytilidae.